Molecule: long non-coding RNA, 1736 nt
Organism: Cygnus olor (mute swan)
Lineage: Eukaryota; Metazoa; Chordata; Aves; Anseriformes; Anatidae
Exons: 3
Source: RefSeq, a predicted model, not a curated record
CUUCCAUAAAGGAAAAAAAAAAAGCGCAAUAAAGCAGGUUGGGAAGAAUAAUGUCAUUCUGUCAGCUACAGGUAUUUACUGCAGGACAGCACAUUCAUUACAUAUGAACCUGCCCCUUGUAGUAUUUCUGUGCUUGCUUGUGCUCUCCCUCACUCUCUCCCUGGCUGAUGUAAGGAACUUAAUUUCAGUUUGCCACCAUAGCAACAGAGAAACAACCCCUGACCACAAUAAGGAGGAUGGUGGCAGUGGUUCACAGAUCCUGAGAUGUUGCAAAGCAACCAGAGUGGAGAGAACAAGUAUACGGGACAUAGAGGAGAAAAAAGUAAGCAACUCCUCUGAACUUCCCUCACACUUUUCAAAAACACAGGAUGCUAGUCUGGCUUUUCUGCUCUUUGGAGUAGCACAUUGGCAAGGCACAGAAUUUAUGAACUAGUGCAUUUCUAAACAAAGAAUCUGGCUGAGUGCUCUGACAGUAAAUUUGCUGUUCCAGGGGCAAACUGCAAUCUUUGAGAGCUUGCUGACCAUCCUGGGGUCAGGGAAAAAUGCCUAAUGUCUCCCUGCUAAGUCACAGCAGAAGGAGGUGAUGAAAAAAGAACAGGAGAAAUUGGGAGCGCUUUAUGAACCAGAGCAUAUACCAUCACAGGAGUUUCACAGGAGCUAAAAGAACAGACUCAUUUAUAUGAUGCACUGCAGUGUUGCGAUGAAAAGUGAAUACAUCACAGCCACAGACAAAGGCAGCUUUUUCCUGAUUAUUUGAAAUGGAAGUCUCAUGACAGUCACUCCCAUGUUAGCAAGACUUCAAAUGCAAAGCACAUUAUGAAGGACUGCUUGGGUCUGUGUCUUCCAAAAACCUACAGUCCAAGGGUGGGUGCACUGCUUCUGUACUCUGAGAAAAUGGCUGAGCCUUCAUGGAAAAUGGGCAGUAGGAGAAUGCACCUGUGGGGCCACAGAUAUGGAACAAAACUACAGAUGAAGUUGCACACCCUCCAAGACUUGAAUAAAGCCAUCAUGGCACAUGGAGGAAAGCAGGUAAGAACCAACAACUUACAUGAGGCCUCUGGCUCUGUUCCUCUAGAUGUUAAAUUACACAACCACUCCAUGAAACCUCAAGAAGACUACUGCUGUUCACUGAUGUUAAUAAGCUGCUAAUAAAAUUAACCUAAUACUGAAACAUAUUCUUAGCAUCAUCUUCCCUAUAAUCUUCCCCUCAUUUCUUUGAAAGUUAUCAGCUAUAGUUCAUUUAUCAUGAUUAAAUUUGUACCUGUUCUAAGGUUUUAAAUGGUGCCAACAUGGUCUCUGUGUCUCUACAUAGGGUGAAUUAUUUCUCAGACACAUUGCUGUAUGGAGAGCAUGGAGAGCUGCUUCCUUUGAAGCCCACAUGGAGCCGGAUUUUGGCUCUCAUAAAGUCUGCUGGAAUUUUGCCAUCAGCAUCAACGGAGCCAGUUCAUGUGUGGAUUUCGUGUCUAUGAACCCUGACAAGGAACAAACCUUCUCAACUUCUAUUCAACUGGAAAAAAGUUUUCAUGCUAACUAGCUGAGGUUUUUUUCUUCCUUGGAUUAGAAAGGGAAGUGUCAGCCAUCCCACACGAUACUCAUCACUCUGGCUCCCAUAUUUCUCAAGUCCUAGUAUAAUAUUCAAAGCAAUUACAUAAUAGUAUUUUGUAUUCUGCAUAACUCAUUGCUAUUAAAACUAAUAAGCUACACCCAUGCCAAUGACAUGGGGUAUUUUUCCUGCA